Molecule: ribosomal RNA, 253 nt
Filed under: uncultured bacterium
Lineage: Bacteria
Description: partial 16S ribosomal RNA
Rfam family: Bacterial small subunit ribosomal RNA
Source: RNAcentral
UACGGAGGGGACUAGCGUUGUUCGGAAUUACUGGGCGUAAAGCGCACGUAGGCGGAUUUGUAAGUCAGGGGUGAAAUCCCGGGGCUCAACCUCGGAACUGCCUUUGAUACUGCGAAUCUCGAGUCCGGAAGAGGUGAGUGGAAUUCCUAGUGUAGAGGUGAAAUUCGUAGAUAUUAGGAAGAACACCAGUGGCGAAGGCGGCUCACUGGUCCGGUACUGACGCUGAGGAGCGAAAGCGUGGGGAGCAAACAGG